AUGUGAAGUUCUGAUGUGUAUCCACUGGAGGUCUUAUGGGCACCACUGGUUUAAGAAGGUCAGAGGUCUAGAAACCGUAUCCUACAUGCCCCUGAAAUGAGGAUAGUAUAACCUGGAGAGGAGCAAUUGUCAUGUGAAAAAGGAAGUAGACAUUUUUCUGCUCUGGAGAAUCAAACUACAAUUAAGCCCCCUAAUUUGGUGAGAAAUCUGGUUAAGUGAAGUUCCUUGAAAGCAGCACACAACUUUUCUCCAAAGCUGUGAAAUUGGCAAAGGAUAUAGUACAAGAAGAAAAAGAGAAUACAGAUGACAUCGGAGGUCCAAGAGACAUUCCAUACUUAAGCUUCAUAAUGUCCUUAUUUGCACACAUAUACCACACUGCCUUCAUUUUCUCCAGCUGAUAGAUUUGUGUAAGAAAUCUUGACUUUGAGAGUUCAAUGUCAUUCCCAACAGGGUCUUUAUGUCUGUCUGGUCAUGUUAUCAGCCAGGCUUACUUAAUGUGUUAGGCCAGUUGGAAACCAUCAUUAAAGAAACUGACCCUGGUGAUCACCAGAGUAGUUUCAGACUAUAAACAACACAUCAUAAAUCCCACUGCCCUUAUCUUGGCCAAGAGACAAAACUGGACAUUCUGAUGACCCCACAGAUUAUGACAAUGUUUUCUGGUCUAAUUAAACCAUAGUCUUCAUAUACCUUUACCACACCUCCUUCCUCCAAUUAGGAAGCUAAGUGGGUAAGAAAGGAAAAAUAAAGGCAGAGCAUAACGAUGUCACCCAUCUUUGGCCUCUUAGCCGGAGCUGACCCUUGCAUGGGCAGUAGACUAUAAGUGUGUUAAUUAUUUUUCCUACUGCAGAGUUUCUUCACGUUGGAAUGGUGAAUAGGUACACAUUUCUCAAAGCUCAAAGUGCAAGUCUAAGGAUAUUCUCUAGUUUCAAUCUUGGUGAAAUUUUUUUCUAUGAAUUCAUUACUUUUUAGUUUAUUUCAGGGAGGGGGUGUUGUUUUUUAAUGAACUAAUACAAGUGUCAGCAUCUUUCGUGGACAUCCAGACAAUUUCUUAAAGAUGGGAGAGGUAAAAAAUCUUCAGGAGAAACUGUGCCUGAACUGUGAGUAUCCAGAAGCCAUUGACCAUGUUAAUGGUGGAGCCAAUAUGAAGUACUUGCUAAAUCAUGUGGUGCAUGAAAAGAAGAGCAAUGUUACAAUUCCAUCCUCCUAAAGACUACAUAACCAUCAUCACUCAUCAUCUCUCCCUGGUCCCUUCCACCUGCCAAACCCCCAUAAAAACCCAUAAUUGAUGAUACAUAUUAGUUUAUAAUUAACGGUGUACCUAACUGUUCUCUACUAGUCUGAGCCUCUGUACAGAGAAACGUCAGUUUUGUAUUCCUGGUUCCUGGAAAAGUACAUAUAGAAUAGUAUAAAUACAAUAAAUGUUUGAAUUAUCGUGUAACUUGAGUCUAAAUUUUAAGUUAGUAUCCUGUAUUAAGAACUGGGUUGACCAAAUGGUUCUUUGCACAUAUCAAGGCUUUCGACUAUUCCCAACCAGAUCUUCCCAAAUUUGGGCAUAUUCCUGCCUCUGCCUACCCUGUUCUAAUUUGGCACUCUAAAGAUAGUUCAUAAAAAGCAAGCCAAAGAUAGAAAAGAGAGCUAAGGCUACAGGAGAAAUUUACUCUUUAACAUUUGGGGGAAGGAAAAUGAGGCUUGUCUACAGCAGGGACUGGCUGUCUUCCAGAAAUGGUUUCCCAAGGUGUUCCCUACCUGUCUUUUUCUUGGAUAUCCUUUUGCAUUAUAGAUAGCCUUGGGAAGGGUGUCACGUUUAUCCUAUCAGUUACACCUAAUCAAUUGUAGUCAUCUGAGAGCCAGAAUUAUUGAUAGAGGGGCCAGGGAAAGGAGAAAAGGACGAGGAGAGAGGAAGGUAUGCUUAUUGCAGAGUAGAAAAGCCAAAGAACGUUUGCCCGUGGGCAGUCUUAGCUAUUUAAAAUCAACCACUUCUUCACCCGGCUCCCUUGGCACAUGUAUCACCCCAUGGAUUGGGAGGUGUAGGACCAUUCUUUUUCUUUCUGGAAGGAAAGCACUGACAUUUAAGCUCUGUGCGGUCUGCUCAGGGGCUGCCCAGUUUGUCCAAGCUUUAGAAUAUUAGAGAGAUUACGCAUUUGUGGUCUCAAGUUAGGAAACUGUUGAAGAACAAAUAUGUCCCUUAUUAGAGGGACUCUUUAGAUGUUUAGGAUGCUCACAAUCCUUGCCAACCUGAUGUCCUUGGAAGCUCCAGUCUGGCUGUAAGGAGAUGAUGAGGGGUUCUGUGUAUUGGAGGUGAUGACCUCAUUGAGUCUCAGCCACAGCAGGGCAUUAUGCAGGAAAGAAUUCAAUGGAGUUAUUUAAUACCUUUCCCUAUUCCCACAAAAAUCUGGAACUGGGUUCUGAACUGAGAAGUCUGGGUUCCCUGAGAAUUGAACAUCAAUUCAACCACAGGAAGCCUCUAAAUUUAGCACUCUACUCACAGAAGGCCAAGAAAAAUUCACAAAUGUCACAAACUUAGGAACUUAGGUAUCUAGUCUUCUCUGUCGUUUUGUAAUGAGAAACUGAGGCCCAUAGGUAAAACAUCUCACCUCCAGUCACACAGGUAAGUACAUGGCAGGGCAAGGACAGGAACCCAGUUUUCCCAAAUCCAGUGGCCUUUUCAUGAUACCCAUUGAUUUCUGUGACAGCUGGCCCUUUGCCCGUCAUCACCAAAUCUUAACUCUUUGGACUUUAAUAAUGUGCAAAAUUAAGAGGAAGUCUGGCACCGGGAGACACAACUCAGAGAGAACUGAGGAAAGUAGUUAGCAUGUUAACUGUGCCUUACCUUGACCUGAAGUGAAGAGCACUCACCAAGCCACAACCUGCUAUCUGCACACCCCACACCAUGAAGUAAAGGACAGCCAAGGAAGAGAAAGGAAAGAAAAGCAAUCCGGCAGGGAGAGCAGGGAGCAAAACGAUCAGAGGUUCUUUCCAAGGGCCUUCUAUUUUUCUACAAUCUGCACACAUUCAGUACUGAGAUACAUUAAGAAGGGCCCACUGAGGCCAUCAUUCACCCUACUCUCGGGCUGCUUCCAUCCUCCAGGCUUCUAGAAGUUGAGAACUUAUGAGCUUCAUUGUUAACUAUAUUACAGAAAAUGGGACCAGCUGGGUUGCGCCCACUCCCCUGUGUCUGGACCUCCUGCCUAUGUAGCAGAAAAGGAUCUUUCUGCUGAAUUAAUAUUCACCUCAGAGCCCUGGGAGAUGUCUGAUGAAAAGUAGUUUUUGAAGAGUCUUGUGACAACCAGUAAUUUCGGCAAAGCUGUGUCCUCAAGAGUCUGCCAGAUUCCCCAACUCUACAGAAUGCUUUUCUUUUUAAAUACCAUAAUCCCAUAAUCUUUCUCAAAAAUUAUAAAACUGUAUUUUAUUUUUCUCAUUUAUUUGGGAGUUUGGGAAGAAAUCUGAGAAACUACUCAGAUUUGAAACUACCUAGUUUAUACUACCAGAAGACAGAGAUUCAGGUUAGCUAGCUUGCUAAUCCUCACAGUUUCAGAGAUAUACCUUGUAUUUUUCCAGAUUAUAGGCUUUGAGGACAUUUACCAAUAGCAUCCUCUGAAUGUAUUUUGGUACUUUUGCUAAGCUAUGGCUUAUUUUAUAGUCCUCCAAAUGAUGAUCUGUGACUUCUCUGCCUGCUCAUUAGAGGAAGAAAAGCUCAGAUGCAUUGCUAACUAUUACUUCAAUGCCAGUGGAACUGGAGAAAUGCUUGAAAAAGUAAUCUCAGGUUGUAAAAAAAUACUACCUUUUUUUGGUUGCAGGAGCUAGAACCCUAUUAUUCUGAGAGUAAAUUUUCUAUUAUUCCUAUCUAAUUCAUUUUCUUGGGAGAUGAAACUCCCUCUUUUUUUUGGUGGGGGGACAGGGUCUCACUUUGUCACCCAGGAUGAUGGAGUGCUGUGACGUGAUCACGGCACACUGAAGCCUCAACCUCCUAGGCUCAAGCGAUUCUCUCACUUCAGCCUCCUGAAUAGCUGGGACCACAGACACACACCACCGUACCCAGCUAAUUUUUUGUAUUUUUUUGUAGAGACGGGGUUUUGCCAUGUUGCCCAGGCUGGUCUCGAAGUCCUGGGCUCAAGCGAUCCGCUCACCUUGGCCUCCCAAAGUGCUAGGAUUACAGGUGUGAGCCCCUCACUGCUCCUGGCUCCCUCAUUGUUAUAUUUCCUGAGGUUGAGAUGAUUUGGGUCCUUUACUUAGAAAUUGUCAUCACACAAUUUCGGAAAGAAAGGUAAAGAAAUCCAUUUUUAUUGGCAACUUUGGGCUAUGCUUCAUCCUGGCAAAAAUUUAAAAGCAGUACACUUCGACGUGGCUCACCUUCCUGCACACCUCAAGCAGCAUGUACAGACUGUCCAAGAAAAAAUGAGGAGGAAAAUGCUCCACCAAGGAAGAGGGAUGAGAUGGGAGCAUAAUUCACACACAAAGAACUGAGUUCUAAAGUCACUUGAGCUUUCUGGAGCUCAGUUGCCUGUAAAACAAGGAAGAAUGAAUGGUCUUUAUGGAAAAUGAAUGGCAGAAUAAGUGAUUUAUCAAGUUCAUUGAACUAUAAAUUCCAUUUUUACUGUCAUUUAUUUAUAACAAAGUUCAGAUAUAAAGAAAAAUCUGAACAUACAGUAGGCACAGAUAAGCCUAUAGCAAAUAUUCACAUGUGGUUUGAAUGCAUUUAUUAAUCUCUGUACUUAUUAGAAUUAAUAAUACUAAAAUGAUUUGGAGUAUUAAUGAUUAAUAAUAGUGGAAAAUAGCCUUCCCAUUAUUGUUAGAGGAUGGUGCCAUCAUGAUGCUAAAUGCCUAUCUGAGGGGAAGCUCAUAAAUAUUACUUGACAAUAUUACUUGAUAAAUAUUUGUUGAAAAAAGAAAUGUAGUAAAGAAGCAAGGAUGGCUGGGCGUGGUGGAGCAUGGCUGUGGUCCCAGCUAACUUGGGAGGCUGAGGUGGGAGGAUUGUUUGAGGGAAGCCGAGUUUGCAGUGAGCCAAGACUGCACUACUGCACUGCAGCCUGGGUGACAGAGUGAGACCCUCUCCAAAAAAAAAAAAAAAACAGAAAGAAAGAAAAGAAAAAAGAAGCAGCAGCAGCAACAAACGGAGGGAGGAAGGGAGAAAGUUUACUUUGAUAUGCCAUAUGAUUGAAACAAAUGCUCUUUUUUCAAAGACAAGGAUUAUACUCCUUUGCAUUCCGGCUACUUUAGUACAUUGUAACUUGGUAACCUUUGCCUUGAAAACAAAAAGAAUCCCUGGAUAUAAUCUCCUUCCUUGUAAUUUUUUUUAUAAGAUGUCAGUAUGGUAAUAGGUCCAUUAGCAAGUAAGUACAGGCACAUCUUAUUUUAUUAUACUUCUCAGAUACUGCAUUUUUUACAAAUUGAAGGUUUGUGGCAACCCUGCAUCAAGGAAGUCUGUUGACAUCAUUUUUGCAAUAGCAUGUACUCACUUUAUGUCUCUGUGUCACAUUUUGGUAAUUCUUGCAAUAUUUCACACUGUUUCAUUAUUAUCUCUGUUAUUAAAAUCUGUAGUCAGCGAUCUUUGAUGUUACUAUUAUAAUUACUGGGGGCACCACGAACGACACUUAUAUAACACAGUAAACUUAAUAAAUGUUGUGUAUGUUCUGAUUGCUCCAACAACCAACCUUUCUCCAAUCUUUCUCCUUCUUCUCAGGCCUCCUUAGUCCCUGAGACACAAUAUUGAAAGUAGAUCAAUUAAUAACCCUAAAAUAGCCUCCAAGUAUUUCAUGUGAGAGGAAGUUGCAAUCUUUCACUUUAAAUCAAAAGCUAGAAAUGAAUAAGCUUAGUGAGGAAGGUGUGUCAAAAGCUGAGACAGGCCGAAAGCUAAGCCUCUUAUGCCAAACAACCAAGUUGUAAAUGCAAAGGAAAAGUUCUUGAAGGAAAUUAAAAAUGCUACUUUGUGAAUACAUGAAUGAGAAGAAAGUAAAACAGCUUUAUUGCUGAUAUGGAGAAACUUUGAGUCAUCUGAAUAGAAGAUCAAGCCAGCCACAAAAUUCCCUUAAGCCAAAGCCUAAUUCAGAGCAAGGCCCUAACUCUCUUCAAUUCUAUGAAAGCUAAAGGGAGGUGAGGAAGCUUCAGAAAAAAAGUUUGAAGGUAGCAGAGUCUGGUUCAUGAGUUUUAAGAAAAGAAGCCUUGUCCAUCCAUAAAAGUGCAAAGUAAAGCAGCAAAUGUUGAUGUAGAAGCUGCAGUAAGUUAUCCAGAAGAUCUAGUUAAGAUAAUUAAUGAAAGUGGCUACACUAAACAAUAGAUUUUCAAAAGAGAUGAAACAGGCUUAUAUUGGAAGAAGAUGCCAUCUCAGACUUACGUACCUAGAGAGGAGUAGUCAAUGCCUCACUUCAAAGCUUCGACCAACAGGCUUACUCCUUGUUAGAGGUUAACGCAGCUGGUGACUUUAAGUUGAAAUCAAUGCUCAUUUACCAUUUCCCCAAAUCCUAUGACUUUUCAGAAUUAUGCUAAAUCUAAUCUGCCUGUGCUCUAUAAAUGGAGCAACAAAGCCUGAAUGACAGCAUGUCUAUGGACAGCAUGGUUUACUGGAUAUUUUAAGCCCACUUUUUGAGUCUUAACUGCUCAGAAAAAAAAAGAAUCUUUUAAAAAUAUUGCUGUUCGGGCUGGUUGCAGUGGCUCAUGCCUGUAAAUCCCAGCACUUUGGGAGGCCGAGGCCAAAGUCAGUAGUUCGAGACCACCCUGACUAACAUGGUGAAACCCCAUCUCUACUAAAAAUACAAAAAUAAGCUGGGUGUAGUGGCGGGCGCCUGUAAAUCCAGCUACUCGGGUGUCUGAGGCAGGAGAAUCACUUGAACCCCGGAGGCAGAGGUUGCAGUGAG
Pongo pygmaeus (Bornean orangutan) is the source of this 6851-nucleotide long non-coding RNA. RefSeq lists it as uncharacterized. NCBI's taxonomy places the organism in Eukaryota, Metazoa, Chordata, Mammalia, Primates, Hominidae. The transcript is spliced from 3 exons. The record is from RefSeq and is a predicted model, not a curated record.